UACGUAGGGUGCGAGCGUUGUCCGGAAUUAUUGGGCGUAAAGAGCUUGUAGGUGGUUUGUCGCGUCUGCUGUGAAAAUCCGAGGCUCAACCUCGGACUUGCAGUGGGUACGGGCAGACUAGAGUGUGGUAGGGGAGACUGGAAUUCCUGGUGUAGCGGUGGAAUGCGCAGAUAUCAGGAAGAACACCCGUGGCUAAGGCGGCUCUCUAGUACGGUACUGACGCUGAGACGCGAAAGCGUGGGGAGCGAACAGG
This 253-nucleotide ribosomal RNA is filed under the name uncultured bacterium. RNAcentral's name for it is "partial 16S ribosomal RNA". It matches the Rfam family "Bacterial small subunit ribosomal RNA", at positions 524 to 776 of the family's 1533-position model. The record is from RNAcentral.